Molecule: ribosomal RNA, 468 nt
Filed under: uncultured bacterium
Lineage: Bacteria
Description: partial 16S ribosomal RNA
Rfam family: Bacterial small subunit ribosomal RNA
Source: RNAcentral
GACGAACGCUGGCGGCGUGCUUAAACCAUGCAAGUCGAACGGAAAGGCCCUGCUUUUGUGGGGUGCUUGAGUGGCGAACUGAUUGGUAACACGUGAGUAUCCUGCCCUUGACUUUGGGAUAUCUUCAUCAAACUGGGGCUAAUACCGGAUAGGAUCUCCUGCUGCAUUUUGGGUGUUGUAAAGUUUCGGCGGUUGUGGAUGGACUCGCGGCUUGUCCGUUCGUUGGUCUGGUUGUGGCUUACCACGGCUUUGACGGGUAGCCGGCCUGAGAGGUUGAGCGGCCACAGUGGGACAGAGAUACGGACCAGACUCCGACGGGCGGAAGCAGUGGGGAAUAUUGCACGAUGGGCGGCACCCUGAUGCAGGAACGCCGCUUGCGGGAUGACGGCCUUGGGGUUGGAACCCGGUAUCGCAUGUGACGAAGCGUGAGUGACGGUAAUGGAUAAAGAAGCACCGGCUAAAUUCGUG